GAUACCCUAUUAUUUUAAAUGUAAUUUUAUAAACUAAAAUUAUUAGUAGUUAUGUUCUUUAAAAUUAAAAAAUUUGGCGGUGUUUUAGUCUUUUCAGAGGAACCUGUUUUUUAAUCGAUAGUCCACGAUAAACUCUACUUUAACUUAUAAUUUGCAUAUCGUCGUUUAUAAAGAUUUUAUUAGGAUUGAAAUUUUUAAUAUUUUUUAUUAGAAGUUAAUUCAGAUCAAGGUGUAGUUUAUGUUAAAGUAAGAAUGGGUUACAUUAAAUUUAUUUGUGGUUUUAUUAUUUAAAAUUUUAAAUAAAUUGGAUUUGAAAGUAAUUAUUAUAUUUUUAUAUUAUGAUUUAGCUCUAAAAUAUGCACACAUCGCC
This 370-nucleotide ribosomal RNA is filed under the name Neoadelium fauveli. RNAcentral describes it as "partial 12S ribosomal RNA". Lineage: Eukaryota; Metazoa; Arthropoda; Insecta; Coleoptera; Tenebrionidae. The record is from RNAcentral.